This 253-nucleotide ribosomal RNA is filed under the name uncultured bacterium. RNAcentral describes it as "partial 16S ribosomal RNA". It matches the Rfam family "Bacterial small subunit ribosomal RNA", at positions 524 to 776 of the family's 1533-position model. The record is from RNAcentral.
UACGUAGGGGGCUAGCGUUGUCCGGAAUCAUUGGGCGUAAAGAGCGUGUAGGCGGUUCGGUAAGUCCGCUGUGAAAGUCGGGGGCUCAACCCUCGAAUGCCGGUGGAUACUGUCGGGCUAGAGUUCGGAAGAGGCGAGUGGAAUUCCCGGUGUAGCGGUGAAAUGCGCAGAUAUCGGGAGGAACACCUAUGGCGAAGGCAGCUCGCUGGGACGUUACUGACGCUGAGACGCGAAAGCGUGGGGAGCAAACAGG